GGGUCUAUAGCCUAAUGGUUACAAGGGCCUUAGUAACACAUGAGGUCCUGGGUUCGACUCCCGGUGGAAGCG
This is a non-coding RNA of Eragrostis curvula (weeping love grass), 72 nucleotides long. The record is from the annotation of a GenBank genome assembly. Lineage: Eukaryota; Viridiplantae; Streptophyta; Magnoliopsida; Poales; Poaceae.